Molecule: ribosomal RNA, 467 nt
Filed under: uncultured bacterium
Lineage: Bacteria
Description: partial 16S ribosomal RNA
Rfam family: Bacterial small subunit ribosomal RNA
Source: RNAcentral
GACGAACGCUGGCGGCGUGCUUAACACAUGCAAGUCGAACGGAAAGGCCCUGCUUUUGUGGGGUGCUCGAGUGGCGAACGGGUGAGUAACACGUGAGUAACCUGCCCUUGACUUUGGGAUAACUUCAGGAAACUGGGGCUAAUACCGGAUAGGAGCUCCUGCUGCAUGGUGGGGGUUGGAAAGUUUCGGCGGUUGGGGAUGGACUCGCGGCUUAUCAGCUUGUUGGUGGGGUAGUGGCUUACCAAGGCUUUGACGGGUAGCCGGCCUGAGAGGGUGACCGGCCACAUGGGGAUUGAGAUACGGCCCAGACCCCUACGGGGGGCAACAGGGGGGAAUAUUGCACAAGGGGGGGAAGCCUGAUGGAGAAACGCCGGGGGGGGGAUGACGGCCUUCGGGUUGUAAACCGCUUUCGCCUGUGACGAAGCGUGAGUGGCGGUAAUGGGUAAAGAAGCACCGGCUAACUACGU